UCGAGGAUCUUCGGCAAUGGGCGCAAGCCUGACCGAGCGACGCCGCGUGUGCGAUGAAGGCCUUCGGGUUGUAAAGCACUGUCGAGGGGGAGGAAGCCGCAAGGUUGACCUAUCCCUGGAGGAAGCACGGGCUAAGUUCGUGCCAGCAGCCGCGGUAAGACGAACCGUGCGAACGUUAUUCGGAUUCACUGGGCUUAAAGGGCGCGUAGGCGGCGACUCAAGUCGGGGGUGAAAUCGUUCGGCUUAACCGGACAAGGGCUUCCGAUACUGGGUCGCUGGAGGGAGAUAGGGGUGCGCGGAACUUCCGGUGGAGCGGUGAAAUGCGUAGAUAUCGGAAGGAACGCCGGUGGCGAAAGCGGCGCACUGGAUCUCUGCUGACGCUGAGGCGCGAAAGCCAGGGGAGCGAACGG
Molecule: ribosomal RNA, 410 nt
Filed under: uncultured bacterium
Lineage: Bacteria
Description: bacterial SSU rRNA
Rfam family: Bacterial small subunit ribosomal RNA
Source: RNAcentral